GAAAAUCAUUGAGACCGUGCUUUUGUUUUGCUAGUAAACACUGCUCUUUAAUUCAGAAAACAGUUUGUAUUGGCCUGGGGAAGCCUGUCUCAUUUGAUAAUGGGCUCUGAAUCCAGUGGAUUAUUGCAGGGAUUUUAUCUUGCAGUAAUCUCCAGGGAGAAAUGUACAAACAGCUGGGAGAGCAAGAAGGAACCGCAUUGUGCGGCAGGAGUUUGUGGAGCAGAAUUUUAGGGUGCUGGAGUGGAUCUCAACACCAACAUGAAUCUUUUCUGUUUUUCUCUGGAGGGCUCGAUGGACAGCCUGUAUGAGCCUGUCCCAGAGCAUCAGGAAGCCAAGGAUACAGCCACCCUUGAGAGCCAGGCUAGCACUCCAGUGAGCACACAGGGAAACUCUGGGCCACCUGACAGGUCCAUGUCUUUGGAGUUUCCUGACUUUGAGAACACACUGACCAAAAAAAGAAAACAGGAAAAAUGUGAAUGGCACACUUUGGCAGGGUUCCAGGAAGCCAGAGAAUGA
This 516-nucleotide long non-coding RNA is filed under the name Zonotrichia albicollis (white-throated sparrow). RNAcentral describes it as "lncRNA (ENSZALG00000012264.1)". The record is from RNAcentral. Lineage: Eukaryota; Metazoa; Chordata; Aves; Passeriformes; Passerellidae.